CGCGAAACUUGCCUCAAGAUGAGUCUUCCCUGGGCCUUCAAGGCCCCUGAAGGAACGUUUAAGACUAAGACGUUGAUAGGCUGGGUGUGUAAGUGCAGCGAUGCAUUGAGCUAACCAGUACUAAUGAUCCGUGAGGCUUAACCUU
This 145-nucleotide ribosomal RNA is filed under the name Serratia ureilytica. Its description in RNAcentral is "partial 23S ribosomal RNA". It matches the Rfam family "Bacterial large subunit ribosomal RNA", at positions 2786 to 2925 of the family's 2925-position model. Lineage: Bacteria; Pseudomonadati; Pseudomonadota; Gammaproteobacteria; Enterobacterales; Yersiniaceae. The record is from RNAcentral.